CAGUCUACGGUGAAGCCAGAGUCCAAAAUCACCCUGCUCUACACCGCAAGUCCCAGAUCUCGGUUGAACAAGACAACACUCGAGCACCAGUGACGCAUUCCCUCUCCCACCCUCUAGGCCCCUACCCUCCCAUGGCGAAGGGCGUCGGUGGCGGGGAUCCCAUACCGCUGUCGCGGUUCGGCGCGCUGGUGGCCCAGCUGGAGUCCGUAGUGGCAUCGGCCAGGCAGAAGACCCCCGACGCGCUGCUCUGCUUCGACCUCCUCUCCGAGCUCUCCUCUGCCAUCGACGAGGCCCCCAAGGAGACCAUACAACUUUGGCAAAGGAAAUGUGAGGAUGCUCUCCAAUCCUUGCUCGUCCUUGGGACACGACGUCCAGUUCGGCGCUUGGCGUCAUCAGCGAUGGGCCGAAUUAUCGAGAAAGGCGAUGUGAUAUCUGUAUAUUCAAGGGCAAGUAACUUGCAGGGGUGGUUGGUCGAUGUGAAAAGGGCUGAGGCCACUGCAUGUGCAGGUGCAGCACAAUGUCUGGGGGAAAUUUACCGUUUAUUUGGACGCAAGAUUACUGCAGGGCUGAUUGAGACAUCAAGCAUUGUAGCUAAACUCAUGAAGUAUCAUGAGGACUUUGUGAGACAAGAUGCUCUUCUCUUGCUUGAGAAUGCAUUGGAAGGCUCAGGUGGUGGUGGUGCUGCUGCAGCUUAUCAAGAGGCUUUUCGUAUCAUCAUGCGAGGUGUAAGUGAUAAAUCGUUCAUUGUCAGAGCAGCGGCAGCACGUUGCUUGAAGGCAUUUGCUAAUAUUGGUGGGCCUGCAUUGGGGAUGGCUGAUUUCGAUUCUUCUAUGUCUUAUUGUGUGAAGGGUUUGGAAGAUAGUGUAUCUUCAGUUAGAGAUUCAUUUGCCGAAGCACUUGGUGCCAUACUUGCUCUUGCAGUGAAUCCAGAUGCCCAGGUGAAGAAAGGCGGGAAAAAACAAACUGCUUCUGCAAAGAAAAUUGAAGAUGGUGUGCAGAAGCAUUUGAUUGUGCCAUUUGUCAAAGCAAAUGGAGCAAAUGCAAAGGAACUCCGGAUUGGUUUGACUUUAUCAUGGGUGUUCUUUCUGCAUAUGAUUCAUAUGAAGUAUGGCACCCCAGAUAGCGAACUUCAAAAUUAUGCCAUACAAACGAUGGAAAUUCUCCAGGGGAAUGAUUCCCUUGAUCCACAUGCGCUGGCAUGCGUUCUGUAUGUUCUUCGAGUUGGUGUCGCGGAUCAGAUGACUGAGCUGACACAACGCGAUUUUUUGCUAUUUCUGGGAAGAAAGCUGGAGUCUUUGAACUACACAGCUGCAACGAGAGUGGCAACACUACGCAUUUUGUGUUACCUAUUGAGAAGCGUUGGUGAGGUUCCAGCUGAAUUCAAGGAUGUUCUUGAUAACACAGUUGUUGCAGCAUUGUCUCAUUCUUCUGCUCAUGUUCGUGUGGAGGCAGCUUUAACAUUGCGUGCUUUAGCAGAGGUUGAUCCUACUUGUGUAGGUGGUUUAGUUUCAUAUGGUCUUACAACAUUGCAAGCUCUACGAGAGACUGUAUCAUUUGAUAAGGGCAAAAGUUUGAACCUUGAGCUCGACUCACUACAUGGACAGGCCACUGUGUUAGCUGCUCUUGUUGCAAUAUCACCAAAGUUGCUUCUUGGUUAUCCUGCGAGGCUGCCCAAGUCUGUACUUGAAUUAUCCAAAAAAAUGCUGAAUGGUUUCAGUCGAAAUCCAGUGGCUGCUAUUGCAGAGCGUGAAGCUGGUUGGUUGCUAUUAGCUUCUCUUCUAGCAUCCAUGCCAAAAGAGGAGCUGGAAGACCAGGUGUUUGAUGUUCUUUUGCUAUGGGCGGGUCCUUUUACUGGAAAUCCUGAAUCUUACCUUCGUCAUAUACAGGAUUGGGCAUCAGAAUUGCGGGUUCUGUCAGUUGCAGUUGAGGCGCUUACUGCCUUCAUAAGAAGUUUUGUUUAUCCAUCUAUCACAACUACUGAUUGUGGAAUCUUGCUUAAUCCUGUACUUGCCUACCUUGGCGGAGCUCUAUCCCUCAUAUCUUCGUUGAGAUCUAAACAAGUGCCCAAUGUAAGGUCUGCGCUGGACCUACUCACAACUAGAACAUUGAUGGCUUAUUGGUCCCUUUCGAAUCCAGUGGUAUAUAAAACUGAGCACCAGCAGAUACUUCAGCUAUGCUCAAGUCCGUUCAGUGAUCCUUCUGGAUGGGAAGAAAGCUCAUGCUUGAAGUUUUUGUUGGAUAAGAGAGAUGCUUCACUGGGCCCAUGGAUACCUGGAAGGGAUUCAUUUGAGGAUGAAUUACGUGCUUUUGAUGGUGGUGCUGAUGGGUUUCUACCGUGUGUGUGGGAUGAUGAAAUCAGCAACUUCCCUCAGCCAGAGUCAAUUCGGAAAAUGCUCGUCAACCAGAUGCUUCUCUGUUAUGGUUCCAUAUUUGCAUGUCAGGAAAACACUGUCAAGAUAAGCCUCUUGAACAAUCUUGACCAGUGCCUGAAGUCUGGGAAGAAGUACCUGUGGUUUAAGUUUCUCAUUACAAAUGCAUGUGUUGCUCUAUUGUCAGGGUUAAAGGAAUUCCUCGCUUUACGUGGUGCUCAAUCAUUGCCAAUUGAUAUAUUAAGUAUGAUUCAGUCCAUUUUCAAGGCCAUUUUAGUAGAGCCUGAAAUUUCUACAGCACAGCGGCGAGCAGCGUGCGAGGGUCUCGGUUUAUUAGCACGAGCUGGGAAUGAUAUCUUUACAGCAAGGAUGGCUCGCUCUCUUCUCGGAGAGCUGGUAACAACAACAGAUCUGAGCUAUACAACUUCUGUUGCAUUUUCAUUGGGUUGCAUCCAUCGAAGUGCUGGAGGAAUGGCAUUAUCUACUCUGGUUACCCCAACUGUGAGCUCACUAUCUCAUUUGAGUAAAAGCUCUAAUUUCAAUCUGCAGUUGUGGUCACUGCAUGCUCUUCUUUUAACAAUUGAAGCUGCUGGCUUGUCUUAUGUCUCGCAAGUUCAGGGGACACUUUUCCUUGCUAUGGAGAUUCUCCUCUUGGAAGAAAAUGGAUAUGUUGAUCUUCGACAAGGAAUUGGUCAUCUUAUUAAUGCAAUAGUUGCUGUUAUUGGUCCAGAGCUUGCUCCUGAUAGCACAUUCUUUUCACGAUGCAAGUCUGUUAUUGCAGAGAUAAGUUCAUCAAAUGAAAUGGCUACACUUUUAGAAUCGGUUAGAUUCUCCCAGCAGCUUGUGCUUUUUGCUCCUCAAGCUGUUCCUGUGCACUUGCACGUUCAAGGUCUUAUCCCAAUGCUUUACUCAAGACAGCCAAGUCUUAGAUAUUUAGCAGUGUCGACACUGCACCAUCUGAUUGAAAGGGACCCGGCUGCAAUGAUUGACGAGAAUAUUGAAGAGAAUCUGUUCAGUAUGCUUGAUGAGGAGACCGAUUCAGAAACAGCGAUGUUGGUUCGUGCAACUAUUAUUCGCUUAUUGUAUACAUCAUGUCCAGUAUGUCCAUCACGGUGGCUGGCAGUUUUACGAAAUAUUGUUCUUGCUACGUCAAUUAGAAGAAACACAGGUGAAGUUCUGUCAUGUUUUGGGCAUAAUCCUCCUGAUAGUACAUCUGAGAAUGAUGUGUACUAUGGAGAAGAUGAAGACAACAUGAUUUCCAGCUCAAAGCAGCAGCAAAUCCGCUGUGCUGGUUCUAUAUCCAGCCAGUUUCCUCCAAGGAAUAAACACCUCAGAUAUCGUACCAGGGUUUUUGCUGCAGAAUGCGUUAGCCAUGUACCAAUUGCAGUUGGAGCAGAACCUGCUCAUUUUGACCUCUUGUUGGCAAGGAGCGCAAUAUCUCAAGGCACUUAUUUGUCAAAUGAUUGGCUAGUGCUUAAACUACAGGAACUGGUCUCACUUUCAUACCAGAUUAGUACUGGGCAAUUUGAAGGAAUGCAACCAAUAGGUGUGAAGCUUUUGUGUUUGAUAAUGGACAAGUUCGGCAAGGCAGUAGAUCCGGAAUUUCCUGGCCAUAUCUUGCUGGAACAAUUUCAGGCCCAACUUGUUUCUGCUGUUAGAAUGGCUAUAAGCACUGCUUCUGGUCCACUUCUUUUGGAGGCUGGACUUGAACUCGCUACAAGGGUUAUGACGAGCAGCAUAAUUGGUGGGGAUAGACUAGCUCUUAGUCGCUUGUUUUCUCUGAUAACACGCCCGUUAAGUGACAUAGAGGGCCUACUAUAUCCAUCUUUUGCUGACUGGGUAGUGUGCAAGAUAAAAGUUCGCCUUCUAACUGCCCAUGCAGCAGUCAAGUGUAACACCUAUCAAUUCUUGAGGAUGAGGGAAAAUGCUCCUAAUGAAUACCAGCAAUUGGCACCUUCACUUGUAAACAGUUCAACUCUAUUAGGAAAAUACUGGAUUCGAGCACUCAAGGAUUAUGUUUCUAUAAGUUUUGGUUUGCACUCAAAAAUCAAUUACAAGCCAUUCCUUGAUGGGAUUCAGUCAUUAUUAGUCUUGUCCAAGGUGCAGAGGUAUCUUGAUGAAGUUUGGUUAUUAAUUCUUAAAGCAACAGCUCUUGAUGCCGCGCCUUUGGAUUUUGAUGAGAAUAAUCCUAAAAAUUUACUCGAACAAACAUUUAUAUCUGGGCAUUGUAUGGUCAAAUUGGACAGAACUGAAUUCCAAUUUCUUUGGGGGUUAUCUAUCCUUGUGCUGUUCCAUUCCUGCCAAUCAAUGAAGAAUAAUUCUUUGAAGAUCAACCUUGACUUUAAACAAGACAAAAACUUUGGGGAAUUUAUUGUUCAUGGACUUGAUGACAAAAGACCGUGUGAUCAGGUCUUACGCGUGCUUUCGUCCCUCACAACAGAAGUCUUUUUCAGCAAUAAUUUUAUUUCAGUGGAUAUUUGCCAGCAACUCCUCCAGGCACUUACAUAUGCAGAUUGUUCAAGCGCUCCUAUCAUCCACCUAUUCACCCAGACAAACUCAGGGAAGCACCACCUCAACUGGUGGGGUACUCGAGAAGAAGUCAACCCCCCCUCCCCCUGUUUGCGCAGCUGUCACACAAGAUGCCGCCAGUGGCCAAUGCCACCCAUCUGCUACGGAUAGUCUGUCUCUAACAUCAGCUGUAAUACCCCUUACCGGUGAGGAACGCACUAGGCCCAAAUAUUUACACCGAUACAGGAUAGAGACUGUGUGGAACAAGGACUCUAACAAAGACUAUAUAUGAGAACGAAAACAAGGACACAUGGACAUGCAUCUAACAAGGAAAGGUUCCUGGAUUAUUUUCCUAGUGUUUUUUUACAUAAGCGUCUCCCUGAUAUAUGGUCUUAUAAGCAAGAGCGGACGGCUACAAGUGAGGUCCCCACACACAUCCAUGUAUUAAUUAUCAAUGAACACAUGUCCCCUUAAAAUAUCCCACAUUGCGCUACUGGUCCAUUACUUCACUUGCCUCUAGUUGAUUUUCAUGGUGCGCCUGCAGCUGCAGGUGUAGCUUACAUGGUAGGCAGUGAGUGGGAUAAAAUGAUACAAUGGAAGAAAGAGGUGCACAGUGGGAAAGUAUCCCAGGUUGAUUGACUACUGUUUUGUAGCUUAGGGAAAGUAGAUCUUUUACUCCCUUCAGUCUUGAUGCUGGAAUGAGAUUAACUAAUGUGAACUUGUGUAGUUGCAAGUAUUGCUUCUCUCUUUUUUCUUGAAGGGCUAAUAUUGUCUCUGGUUUGAUUCCUUUUGCCUCUAUGUUAGCAAUAUUUAAGGAUAAUACAGUAACAAAGUUUUAUUCAUUGCAUGUUGCUUAUUUUUAAUGAGACUACUGCCUAACUUUUGUUUCACCAUGAAGAUUAUCAGAUUCUGCCCUGACAAUUUUUUUGAGGUUGAAGCCUUUGUCUUCUCUGCAAUAGAGUUAUUGUCUCAGUAUCUGGGUCUGAUACUUCAAUGUAGGGAUGGGAGUUCUCAGAAUAAUUCAAGUAACACUUUGAUUUCUGAGUUGUCUAUUGCAAGCGAGACGAUGGCUUAUCGGAUCAAAGGAGAGUAUUUGUGGAAGCUGGUGAUGUUAGUGGUAUCUACUUCACACCAAUCAUUUCAACAAGUUUCAACUAAUUUAUGCUUCUCAAAUAUUAUAUGCUUCCUCCAAAAUAUCUUCCCUUUCAUGAGGAAAAUUUUUAGAGAAAGAGUCGAAUCAGAUGGUGAGUGCACAAGUCCUAAAGUUGUCUUUGGUGCUAUGGUUGGCCUAGUGGGAUACUUCUAUGUAGAGUGUGAUAAAAAGAUCUCAUUGCUCGAAAACAAGAUUUCUGAUUCCUACAAGCUGUUGAAUAAGAUACUACUUUUUUGCUUGGGAGAAGCCACUGCUCUUGCAAAACUUGUUCCUGAGAUCAUUUAUCGAAGUGAAAAUGUAAGUAACAAUGAUGUGCUCCUUUGGGGCAGCUUCAGGCUGUGCGUACAGGUUAUUCAAGGUUCAUUUCGUAGUACCAACAUACAGGUGCACAUGCUGGGUCUGCAAGUACUGAGAAGCUAUGCACAGAAGGAGCUAACUGAAGGUUCAGAAACAAAGUUGGAUUCUUUUAUGAUGUUGCUUACGGAAUUGUUGGGAGACUUGUUUUUGGUGAUGGAGACUACAUUGAAGGAAUGUUCAAACAAAAAAUCUGUCAGUGUCGUUGAUGAAUGUUUGAAACUUGUUUUCCUCUUCCACACACUAGCACAAUCAAAGAAAUACCGACAAGAUGCUACAACUCUUCUGCUGGAGGCCUUGCUGAUGGUUUUCUCUCUGUCCAGUGAUACUGUUUCACAGGAGCUUGCUGAAGUGAACACCAUUUCCAGAAAGUUGUUCUCUCAUUUUAUUCAGAUUCCGUCUGUGGCUAUACAGAUCAAAGACAUAAUGCUUUCUGCACCAGCUGAAAGGAGACUACAGCUUCAGGACAUGGUCCGAGCUUCAGUCAGUCAAGGGCAGAUAACGGUGCCAGUGGCUACGAGUGCACACUCAGAACAGAAUAUUCAGGAUAGUUGCAGUAAAAACCCUGGGUCCACAUCUGAAGCUUCUGAUUGUGUUGCAACUCACGGGAAUAAUGACAAUGAAGUUGUUGAUGAUGACUGGGAUGACGAUUGGGAUGCUUUCCAAUCUCUUCCUGCAAUUGCAAAUGAUGGUGUUGAUUCUGGAGAAAUCUCUCUUACAACUAGGUACAAUGAACAGAUCCCUCAAGAAAAUAGCAGUUACGGUUCUUGUAAUGCGGAUAUUACAGCUCGUGCUAUGGAAGACAUAACUUGUGUGGACAAGGAACUUGAGGAGCCCUCUGAUUUGCAAUUCUCAAGUACUGAACAACAGCCUAAACAUGAUUUACCAGGGUCAUCCCACGAAGGUUGUGCUAAACUUGAAAGACAUCCAUCUGUUGAUUGCAAAGAGCAAUUAGCUGAUGAUGAGACAGCAGAUGAACUGCAGCAGCAGGUUCAUGAAGACACUGAUCAUGUAAAUAAAGAUAGCGAAGUUCUCUCUGCAGAAAUUCAUGGGGUUAAAUUGGAUAUCCUUGAUGAAGAUGUUGAAGAUGAUUCCCCAAUGAAUUCAAACAAUCUAUCAGAUAUCGCAGAGGAAGAGUCCUAGGGUUGGUACAAUGCAACGAGGGUGGACCGCAAGCUUGUCGAGAUAGUAGAGAAGAGCUGUCCGGUUCCUCUGAUGCUGGCAUACCAGAUUUUAGUAUGUCAGGACACGUGAUGAGCAAGAGCGGAGGAAAUGAGCAAAAUGUUAUUUUGCCUGUAUCAAUAUAUAUUGCACGAGAUAAAAAUAAUAUAAGGUUACAACCAUGAUUUUUAUUU
Molecule: RNA transcript, 7739 nt
Organism: Zea mays
Lineage: Eukaryota; Viridiplantae; Streptophyta; Magnoliopsida; Poales; Poaceae
Gene name: protein SWEETIE
Exons: 48
Source: RefSeq, a predicted model, not a curated record